AUUGAAAAUAUCCUAGCAGAAGUAAGCAGCGGUCUAGCAGAAGCUGUAAAAUGCCCCUUGGAUAGCGGCUAUGCUCAGAACCGUUGCGAAAUUGGGGGUAUAUAUCUUCGCAAAUAAUAGCGGGAGCAGAGGCGCGAAAUUUCACCCACACUCCCUGUGCCGCAACAUCCCCAGCGACUACCCCCAGAAACGCCGCUAGUUCCCGCGAGUUGAGCCUGAUAACACGCCAAUCAAGAGCGAGAGCAGAGGCGUGAAACCUUGAACUCACCCAGAAACCCCCAAUUUUUCAAGCUUUUGCGUCUCAACCACAAUCCCCAAAACCCAAACCUCCCUCAUUCACGGCGUGCGAAAUCCCCGACCUCUGCUCCACCCUGGGCCUCUGUGUGGGUGGUUGAGUCGCGCAGCUGCCAUCCGUGCUUCUCUCACUGGCCUCGAAGUGGAGCAUAUCCUCGAUCGUGCGUGAAACCGAUUCAUUUGAAACUAAAAGUGUGUAACGGCUCUUCAACGAAGAAGGUUCUGGUGUAGGAAGCAACGUCGUAAGGUGUCGAGACUGCGAUCAAGGUUAUUUUACUUUCAACUUUGUCAUUUGUUAUGGGUAUGAUGAUUUAGAUUUAUUAUUAUUGUUCCAUUCAUAUUUUGCCUAUGUGAGAUAUAGAAUUGAUCAUUCUCUUAGUUAGGAAAAAAAAAAUAAUAAGAAGUAAUUGAGACUGGUACAACAUAUGAUAUUGUUAAGGUAUAAUAUUCAGCAUUGACAACUUCUCAACACUGCCACUUGUUCAGCGUUAUUGCACGUAUACAUUUUCACUACUUUGAUGAGAGUUCUCAAUCUGAAAAGCAUAUUCAGAUCAAAGGACUUAAUAUGUAACUAAUCAAUAAUUCAGUAGGAGCAGCCAUGCUUAAUAUUCUGUAGAUAUUGUACAAGCUAUUACCCAAGAAAAAUAAAUUGAAGUCAUCCUAUAGAAAUUCAUACUUUGUAUAUAUUUGUACCCAAGUUGAU
Non-coding RNA from Arachis ipaensis, 997 nucleotides. The record is from RefSeq and is a predicted model, not a curated record. NCBI's taxonomy places the organism in Eukaryota, Viridiplantae, Streptophyta, Magnoliopsida, Fabales, Fabaceae.